AGCAGCAGUAUGUUUUUUCCUCUCUUUUUCUUAGCAAAGGGAAAAGAAAACAAGCCAAACUGAAGCCUUGAAACACAAGCACUUCAAAGCUUAUCACUCUCUAUCUAUCACCCUGACAGGUCUACUCGUGUUCUUGCAGUACAAAAACCUAAGCUGAUAAUGGGGGAGGUCUUAAAACCUUACAAGAAUGAGUCUUUCUUAAUGUUUUAGUUUGCUUUUCAUGCUUCUUGAUUAUUAUUAUUUUUUAAUUAGGAAGAGAAGAAACCGGCAGCAGAAGAGGUGAAAAAACCAGAGGAACCAAAGAAAGUAGAGGAGGAGAAGACAGAAGAGAAGCCAGCAGAAAAACCAGCGGCUGAAGAGAAAAAAGAUGAGAAAAAACCAGAGGAGACGAAAGAUAAAUCACCUCCACCUCCUCAAGAAAUUGUACUUAAAGUCUAC
This 438-nucleotide long non-coding RNA is filed under the name Populus trichocarpa (black cottonwood). RNAcentral describes it as "long non-coding RNA (PTRI_LNC003503)". Lineage: Eukaryota; Viridiplantae; Streptophyta; Magnoliopsida; Malpighiales; Salicaceae. The record is from RNAcentral.